RNAcentral lists this ribosomal RNA (253 nucleotides) under uncultured bacterium. Its description in RNAcentral is "partial 16S ribosomal RNA". It matches the Rfam family "Bacterial small subunit ribosomal RNA", at positions 524 to 776 of the family's 1533-position model. The record is from RNAcentral.
UACAGAGGGUGCGAGCGUUAAUCGGAAUUACUGGGCGUAAAGCGCACGUAGGCGGCUUGGUAUGUCGGGUGUGAAAUCCCCGGGCUCAACCUGGGAACUGCAUCCGAAACUGCCUUGCUAGAGUAUGGGAGAGGGAAGUGGAAUUUCCGGUGUAGCGGUGAAAUGCGUAGAUAUCGGGAGGAACACCUGUGGCGAAAGCGGCGCACUGGACCACAACUGACGCUGAGGCGCGAAAGCUAGGGGAGCAAACAGG